AGGCUAUGUACAUAAACUCGAAACAAAACAUCUACCUGCAGUAGGGGGCCUCUAGCUCUGCUCGUCGGGUAGGGCUCUAACUUGCGACGCCCUUGCCUCGAUCCUGAUCCGCGGAAAGUGCAGCAGCCGAAACCUGUGGCUCUGCAAAAACAGGAGUAACAACUGGGCGUGAGAACUACUGUAAAAACAAGUAGUCCUCAGUGGGUACCGCCCAAAACAACAUCGGUCCACCCACUAAGUCUCCAGAAGGGAGCAAGAAUAGUCGGAAAAGCAGGAAGUAAACUCUACCGCUAUCAAUCACUAUACUAUCAUGCUCUACACUAACCAACUGUAGGAAAUGUCAAAUCUGACCCAAUCCAAUCGGGACUGUAAGCCUACCCGUCCCUGGGACUGUGAAUACACCCGUCCCUGCCCAGUUGCGACUAUCCAGCUCCAUCCACACUAACUGAUCCGUGGAGAGCAAGUCCAACCGGCAUGAGCGACACCAACGCGAAGCACAAAGCCCGUCUCCGGAGUGGCACUCGUGGGCAUGGACGAAGCUAUGUGGAGGCCCAAGGUGGCCAUGGCCCCCCUCAACUUUUCAAUAUUUGCUUAAUGGUCCUUCAAUUUUUUUUUUUUUUUUGUGUAUCAUGGAUAGAUUUGGCCCUCCUAGAUUUUCAAUAUUUACUUAAUAGCAUGGUGCCAACAUAACUCUCUCUCUUUCUCCUAAUCGAUAUACUCUUUUUAUGGAUGAAAAUAUAUUAAAAUCUAUUUUUUGUAAUAUAUUUCUCUACUCUAAAAAUUUUAUUUAAUAAUUUUUUAAAACUUUUAUUUAUCUUAGAUGAGCUCUUUUAUUUGACUAAAUCAAGAAUUGCACUAAAUUUAAUAGCUAUGUUAAUUUUAUUUACUAAAAAGCUAAAAAAUUACUAUUAGAUUUAGUAAAAUUUCUAAGUUAUUUUAAUGUAAUGAUAUAAAUAAAAUAAUUAGAAGUUAAACAUCUGAAAAUAAAAAAAAAUAAAGUUCAUACUUUUACAUUAUUUAUUUAAUUAAUAAUUUUUUAAUAAAAGUUUUUUAAUUAGGAAAAAUUUUGUUUAUUAUUUAUUACUAAAAUUUUUAUUUAAAUAUAUUUUGGCCCCCCUCAAGAUUGAAUCCUAGCUUCGUCCCUGCUCGUGGGAGCUACCCAACCGAGUAUGCACCGUAUCUCUGUCGAGCUCAAUCAGGCUCUCAAAAGCCAAAGUCCAGUAACCGACUCAAACUGGUCUAACAACCAACAGGUAACGUGCCCUCGGCACAAUCCGACGCCAAAAAAGUGAUACGGGUCCACCGUCAACCCCGACGGCACCCAACAGUCCGGAACAGCCUGAACGCUACUGUAAAAGUAUACUCGGCAUCCCGGCACAAGCGUAACCGAAAGCUAAACUAUCUGGAAUACUCACUAUGAGGAUACUGCUACAGUAUAAAAUAAUACAACGGCCCCUAUGGCUAAAUCAGGUAGUUUAAAUAUAUGACGAUCAUAAUCGCGAGUUUUCUCCUAAGUCUUAUCCAAGUCCAACAUGUAUAUAUAUAUAUAUAUAUAUAUCCAAAGAUAAUAACUCAGCUCCAAUUCAGAUUAUUAACCAUACUAAAUCAAUAAACCGAGCAAUUGCGCCACACAAGAUAAUUCCACAAUUACAUGUCGACUAUAUAGGCACUUAGGAGUAAACCGAUGAUUAACCCACCUUAAUCGCAAAUCCCCGACGGUGAAGAAGGUCACCGGAGUCCCUGUCAAGCUCGGCGCAGCUCCCCGAACCAGCGACAACACGCUCCAUGGGUCUAAACAUAGAAACCCAUAUUAAGCAUCAAUUCUGCCCAAAACAGCAGCAGCAGAAAGAAAUAGGGAUACGACCUAACAAACCUUCACCAAAUCCAGCAAAUAAGGGCUUCGUGGAUUCCUCUCGAAGUCCCGAAUCCAACGAACCAAGUCCCGUCGAAAUCCGACAUUCCUACGUCGAGUACGAGCCGAAACACUAACGGUCAACGCUGAAAAUCAGUAAAAUCAGCACGCGAGCUCAAAACCGUGCGUUCAAGUAAUCCAAGAAGGAAAGUUAGGUACCCACAUCGACAGCGAAUCCAGCGCCGGUGCGACGUCGAGGACGGCGAAAAUGCACCCUCGCCCAGCCUCCAUGCGACGUUACGGCGACAAACGUGCGCUCAAACGGCUCGGCGAUGCGACGUCGGCAACGAACGCUCCACCCAAGUUCCUCCUCCUCGCGUAUGGCUCCAGAGACAGAGAGGGAGGAAAUUUUAAUUAAGGAGGCAUG
Molecule: long non-coding RNA, 2279 nt
Filed under: Ananas comosus (pineapple)
Lineage: Eukaryota; Viridiplantae; Streptophyta; Magnoliopsida; Poales; Bromeliaceae
Description: long non-coding RNA (ACOM_LNC003144)
Source: RNAcentral